GCCAAAAACCUCAUCUUAAUAUCUUUGUCUACAGCAACAUGUUCUCUUCUACUCAAAAUUUAUUCUGUGGUUUAUUUUACAAGCCACAUAAAUUAGAAAAAUUCCUGUUUUCCUUUCAAGGUGAUUGCCCAUUUUACAUUAAGUUACUUCUGACUUGAUGGAAGCUGAGUUCCUUUUGAUUCACCCUGAUGCUCUUCUUUCUGCCUGUUCACAUGGAAACCUGCCCAAUUUACUUCUCCACAUUGUUUUCAAUUGCAGACAUUAUUUGUUUGUAAUUCCUUUCAUCCAUAUCUCUAAGUUGAGAAAACUCAAACCUUACACUCCUGAAUCAAUCAGGAUAGGAUAGGAAGUGCUGUUGUGACAAGUAAGCCCUGAAUUGCAGAGGUUCACAACAAAGGAGAAUUUUUCCUCAACGCCAUUCUCAGGUGUUGAGACCACUGCCUGUGUAGUUUUGUGGUGCCUUUACUUUAGGUCCAAGGUGGGCAGAGUAGUGUCUGGAUAGAACAUUACAGGUUUUGGCAGGGGGACAUAGAAACUAUGUACUGAGUUAUUAAACUGUCUGCUUGGAACAGACAAAGGCCAGUUAUGUUUACAUCUAGUGAAAUUUAGUCCCAUGACAAUGCUCUAGCUGCAUAGGGUGAGGAUAUGUGUUUCCUGCUGGUUUGCUGAAAUCUUGAGCACCAUCCUCUUUGGUCAACAGUAAUAUAAUCUUCCCUACCUUCACAGUCACUGCCACUACCACCAAAAUUUUGCAUUUUGACCAAGAAAAUUCAGUUGACCUGGAAAUAUGAAAGGUUUAAUCUGUCACCAGCUCUCCCCGAAAUGAGGCUGUCAGUUUGAAGCAAGGCUCUGGCAAACUGUAAGUCUGUGUGGCAGAAGCAGGGCAAAAUCUAUCUUGGAAAUGUGAGUUCCAGAAGGACAGAUAAGAAUAAUGACAAAAGUCUGCUGCAGCCUCUUCAGUGCAGUUAUACACACAUGCACUAUUGUUACUAAAUUAUUUUUCCUUCAGAUAUAAGAGGCAGUAAUAUAGUGUGUGAAUGCCACCUGCUUAAAAUAAGAAGUAAAUGAAAAGAAACAAUUAGCAAAUGCAUUAGACAGGGUACCAUUGGGGGAGAAAAUGACUGAUUUCAGGAAUCUUCUUUGAAAUACAAGAGAGAGAACUGAUGUGAGAUUCAAAGAUUUGCCAUUCACAAUUGAAUUUGAACACUCUCAAGAUGAUCCGCAGGAGAAGUACAUACUCCUCGAGCUCGAUCUGUCUGCACAUGCACUUAUCCCAGGAAGCUGAAGUGGGAGAUCUGAUGCGCAGUGGAGGACUGAACUAAAGCCUUUGACUUUUGCUCUAUACCAGUCAGAUAAAAACUGCAGUGAGAAACAAGCAUCCUCUCCAUCCAAUUGAGGGGAGGACUGAGGAAUUCUUAUGUGGCUUGAAGG
This is a long non-coding RNA of Sapajus apella (tufted capuchin), 1431 nucleotides long. RefSeq lists it as uncharacterized. The transcript has 3 exons. The record is from RefSeq and is a predicted model, not a curated record. NCBI's taxonomy places the organism in Eukaryota, Metazoa, Chordata, Mammalia, Primates, Cebidae.